GACGAACGCUGGCGGCGUGCUUAACACAUGCAAGUCGAGCGGUAAGGCCCUUUCGGGGGUACACGAGCGGCGAACGGGUGAGUAACACGUGGGUGACCUGCCUUUAGCUCUGGGAUAAGCCUGGGAAACUGGGUCUAAUACCGGAUAUGACCCUAUGGCGCAUGUUGUGGGGUGGAAAGCCUUGUGCGGCUAGGGAUGGGCCCGCGGCCUACCAGCUUGUUGGUGGGGUGAUGGCCUACCAAGGCGACGACGGGUAGCCGGCCUGAGAGGGCGACCGGCCACACUGGGACUGAGACACGGCCCAGACUCCUACGGGAGGCAGCAGUGGGGAAUCUUGCGCAAUGGGCGAAAGCCUGACGCAGCGACGCCGCGUGAGGGAUGACGGCCUU
RNAcentral lists this ribosomal RNA (389 nucleotides) under uncultured bacterium. Its description in RNAcentral is "bacterial SSU rRNA". It matches the Rfam family "Bacterial small subunit ribosomal RNA", at positions 28 to 418 of the family's 1533-position model. The record is from RNAcentral.